UACAGAGGUGGCAAGCGUUGUUCGGAAUUACUGGGCGUAAAGGGCGCGUAGGCGGAUUUGUCAGUCAGGGGUGAAAUCCCGGGGCUCAACCUCGGAACUGCCUUUGAUACAGCAAGUCUUGAGUUCGAGAGAGGUGGGUGGAAUUCCUAGUGUAGAGGUGAAAUUCGUAGAUAUUAGGAAGAACACCGGUGGCGAAGGCGGCCCACUGGCUCGAUACUGACGCUGAGGUGCGAAAGCGUGGGGAGCAAACAGG
This 253-nucleotide ribosomal RNA is filed under the name uncultured bacterium. RNAcentral's name for it is "partial 16S ribosomal RNA". It matches the Rfam family "Bacterial small subunit ribosomal RNA", at positions 524 to 776 of the family's 1533-position model. The record is from RNAcentral.